RNAcentral lists this ribosomal RNA (461 nucleotides) under Moina affinis. RNAcentral's name for it is "bacterial SSU rRNA". It matches the Rfam family "Eukaryotic small subunit ribosomal RNA", at positions 505 to 868 of the family's 1831-position model. Lineage: Eukaryota; Metazoa; Arthropoda; Branchiopoda; Diplostraca; Moinidae. The record is from RNAcentral.
GUGAUUGGAAUGAGUACACUUUAAACCCUUUAACGAGGACCCAUUGGAGGGCAAGUCUGGUGCCAGCAGCCGCGGUAACUCCAGCUCCAAUAGCGUAUAUUAAAGUUGUUGCGGUUAAAAAGCUCGUAGUCGGAUGUCUGUCUUCGGCCGGGCGGCGCCGCUCUGAAUCAAGGGCGCGCGCUCGCUCUGGGUGUCGGGCGUCAAAACUCGACACUCUUCGCGGUCGGACAACACCGCCGGAGUGGCGGGGUCGGCCGGCGAGUCGUUCGCGGCCCGCCGGUUCCCGCCCGUAAUCGUGCGGGGUGCCCUUCGCCGGGUGUCCCGUGCGGCCGGCAACGUUUACUUUGAACAAAUUAGAGUGCUCAAAGCAGGUGCACACCACGCCUGAAUACUGCAGCAUGGAAUGAUGGAAGAGGACCUCGGUCUUGUUUUGCUGUCUUUCUCUAGACCCGAGGUAAUGG